This 451-nucleotide ribosomal RNA is filed under the name uncultured bacterium. RNAcentral describes it as "bacterial SSU rRNA". It matches the Rfam family "Bacterial small subunit ribosomal RNA", at positions 354 to 796 of the family's 1533-position model. The record is from RNAcentral.
GUGAGGAAUCUUGCGCAAUGGGCGAAAGCCUGACGCAGCAACGCCGCGUGGGUGAUGAAGGCCUUCGGGUCGUAAAACCCUGUCAGGUGGGAAGAAUCGGACGGGAGCCAAUACCUCCUGUUCCUGACUGUACCACCAGAGGAAGCCCCGGCUAACUCCGUGCCAGCAGCCGCGGUAAUACGGAGGGGGCCAGCGUUGUUCGGAAUUAUUGGGCGUAAAGGGCGCGUAGGCGGCCAAGUAAGUCUGACGUGAAAUCCCUUGGCUUAACCAAGGAAUUGCGUCUUAAACUGCUCGGCUUGAGUCCGGGAGAGGGUAGUGGAAUUCCCAGUGUAGCGGUGAAAUGCGUAGAUAUUGGGAGGAACACCGGUGGCGAAGGCGGCUACCUGGACCGGUACUGACGCUGAGGCGCGAAAGCUAGGGUAGCAAACAGGAUUAGAUACCCCAGUAGUCC